AGAGUUUGAUCCUGGCUCAGGAUGAACGCUAGCGACAGGCUUAACACAUGCAAGUCGAGGGGCAGCGGAGGCGAGUGCUUGCACUUGCCAGACGGCGACCGGCGCACGGGUGAGUAACACGUAUGCGACCUGCCCGUAGCAGGGGGAUAAGCGGAAGAAAUUCCGUCUAAUACCGCGUAAUAUCUUUCGGGGGCAUCCCUGAGGGAUUAAAGGAAGCGAUUCCGGCUACGGAUGGGCAUGCGGCGCAUUAGCUAGUUGGCGGGGCAACGGCCCACCAAGGCGACGAUGUCUAGGGGUUCUGAGAGGAAGGUCCCCCACACUGGUACUGAGACACGGACCAGACUCCUACGGGAGGCAGCAGUGAGGAAUAUUGGUCAAUGGGCGCGAGCCUGAACCAGCCAAGUCGCGUGAGGGAUGACGGCCCUACGGGUUGUAAACCUCUUUUGUCGGGGAGCAAAUUCCGCCACGCGUGGCGGAGUCGAGAGUACCCGAAGAAAAAGCAUCGGCUAACUCCGUGCCAGCAGCCGCGGUAAUACGGAGGAUGCGAGCGUUAUCCGGAUUUAUUGGGUUUAAAGGGUGCGUAGGCGGACUGUCAAGUCAGCGGUAAAAUACGGGGGCUCAACCUCCGCCCGCCGUUGAAACUGACGGUCUUGAGUGGGCGAGAAGUAUGCGGAACGCGUGGUGUAGCGGUGAAAUGCAUAGAUAUCACGCAGAACUCCGAUUGCGAAGGCAGCAUACCGGCGCCCAACUGACGCUGAAGCACGAAAGCGUGGGUAUCGAACAGGAUUAGAUACCCUGGUAGUCCACGCAGUAAACGAUGAAUACUAGCUGUCCGGGGCGAAUGAGCCCUGGGGUGGCACAGCGAAAGCGUUAAGUAUUCCUCCUGGGGAGUACGCCCGGCAAGGGUGAAAGUCAAAAGAAUUGACCGGGGGGCCCGCACAAACGGGAGGAACAUGUGGUCUAAUUCGAUGAUACGCGAGGAACCUCACCCGAGCUCAAACGACACAAGGAACGUACAUGAAAGGGUUCGGCUGUACGGAGCAUGUGUGCGAGGCGCUGCAUGGUAGUCGUCAGCUCGUGCCGUGAGGUGUGGGGUUAAGUGCCAUAACGAGCGCAACCCCCAUCGACAGUUGAUAACAGGUCAGGAUGAGGACUCUGUCGAGACGUCCGGCGCAAGCUGCGAGGAAGGCGGGGGUGACGUCAAAUCAGCACGGCCCUUACGUCCGGGGCGACACACGUGUUACAAUGGCAGGUACAGCGGGAAGCCACCGGGCGUCAGGGAGCGGAACCCGAAAGCCUGUCUCAGUUCGGAUGGGAGUCUGCACCCCGACUCCAUGAAGCUGGAUUAGCUAGUAAUCGUGCAUCAGCCACGGCGCGGUGAAUAAGUUCCCGGGCCUGGCACACACCGCCCGUCA
Molecule: ribosomal RNA, 1415 nt
Filed under: synthetic construct
Also listed under: 2 other names
Description: bacterial SSU rRNA
Rfam family: Bacterial small subunit ribosomal RNA
Source: RNAcentral